UACAUGUGGGGCAAGCGUUGUUCGGAAUUACUGGGCAUAAAGGGUGCGUAGGCGGCUUGUUAAGUCAGGGGUGAAAGUUUUCGGCCCAACCGGAAAAUUGCCUUUGAUACUGGCGAGCUGGAGUGCGUGAGGGGUGACCGGAACGAGUGGUGUAGCGGUGAAAUGCGUAGAUAUCACUCGGAAGGCCAACGGCGAAGGCAGGUCACUGGUGCGCAACUGACGCUGAGGCACGAAAGCGUGGGGAGCAAACAGG
Molecule: ribosomal RNA, 253 nt
Filed under: uncultured bacterium
Lineage: Bacteria
Description: partial 16S ribosomal RNA
Rfam family: Bacterial small subunit ribosomal RNA
Source: RNAcentral